RNAcentral lists this ribosomal RNA (625 nucleotides) under uncultured bacterium. Its description in RNAcentral is "bacterial SSU rRNA". The stretch from base 1 to 525 matches the Rfam family "Bacterial small subunit ribosomal RNA", at positions 338 to 873 of the family's 1533-position model. The record is from RNAcentral.
CCUACGGGAGGCAGCAGUGGGGAAUAUUGCACAAUGGGCGAAAGCCUGAUGCAGCGACGCCGCGUGAGGGAUGACGGCCUUCGGGUUGUAAACCUCUUUCAGCAGGGAAGAAGCGAAAGUGACGGUACCUGCAGAAGAAGCGCCGGCUAACUACGUGCCAGCAGCCGCGGUAAUACGUAGGGCGCAAGCGUUGUCCGGAAUUAUUGGGCGUAAAGAGCUCGUAGGCGGCUUGUCGCGUCGGAUGUGAAAGCCCGGGGCUUAACCCCGGGUCUGCAUUCGAUACGGGCUAGCUAGAGUGUGGUAGGGGAGAUCGGAAUUCCUGGUGUAGCGGUGAAAUGCGCAGAUAUCAGGAGGAACACCGGUGGCGAAGGCGGAUCUCUGGGCCAUUACUGACGCUGAGGAGCGAAAGCGUGGGGAGCGAACAGGAUUAGAUACCCUGGUAGUCCACGCCGUAAACGUUGGGAACUAGGUGUUGGCGACAUUCCACGUCGUCGGUGCCGCAGCUACGACAUAACGUUACCCGUCCGUCGGGAGGUACGGCCGGCGACGGACGUAAACGUACGAAAGGUAAAGUUAGUACGGCGUUGUAGACGUUGCCGAACGGACGACGACGAGGGAGGUUAGG